UUAGGCUAGUACAAAAGCAAUUGUGGUUUUUGCCAUUGAAAGUAAUAGCAAAAACCACAGUUACUUCUGCACCAACCUAAUA
This 82-nucleotide microRNA precursor is filed under the name Aotus nancymaae (Ma's night monkey). RNAcentral describes it as "miRNA (ENSANAG00000007562.1)". The record is from RNAcentral. Lineage: Eukaryota; Metazoa; Chordata; Mammalia; Primates; Aotidae.